Molecule: long non-coding RNA, 598 nt
Organism: Varroa destructor (honeybee mite)
Lineage: Eukaryota; Metazoa; Arthropoda; Arachnida; Mesostigmata; Varroidae
Source: RefSeq, a predicted model, not a curated record
CAAAAGAAGCAGAUAAUACAGCCGUCUACAAUUAAAUAUACAUUGCGUUCGGCUCUACAUACGUAUAUUAUAAAUUUCAUAUUGCUGAGAAUAAACUGAUUUAUCACUGAUUACGUGUGCGAUAUCUCUGACUGUAUCGAAACAUUCGUCUGUGCUCUCCGAAACUCACUGCGAAGUACCACCAUACUUUGUACUAAAGCUGGAUGCGGUAAUUGAUGUCACUAGACCUACGGAAGACGACUGAGGUAAAAAAAACUUCGUCGACGAUUCGUGAAAACAGGUUACAUCGGUUACAAAAAAGGUCCGCUCUUGUCCUUAGUGCCUACAAACGCAGCCCAUCUAAACGCUUCGCAUUGCGCGAAUGCCCAUGCGGUAAUUAAGUUGACGUUUUUCAAUGAGAUCGGCGAUCUAAAUUCAAUAGAUUUGCGCAGAUUUUAUAGUCAGCCAAUCAGAUGUUUAAAAAAACAGCUUCUCGUAGUCUCAACAUGCUUCGUAUGUAUCGUCAUGCGUGUCGACGACAUUUCAAGCAAGGACCAGAUCCGUCUUGACAUAGAGUUAGGUAUGUCCCAACAAAAUAACUACAAAGAAAAGCUUCUAU